RNAcentral lists this ribosomal RNA (775 nucleotides) under uncultured Neocallimastigales. RNAcentral's name for it is "partial large subunit ribosomal RNA". It matches the Rfam family "Eukaryotic large subunit ribosomal RNA", at positions 24 to 649 of the family's 3401-position model. Lineage: Eukaryota; Fungi; Neocallimastigomycota; Neocallimastigomycetes; Neocallimastigales. The record is from RNAcentral.
UAUGUGAUCGUCUCUCGCAUAUCAAUAAGCGGAGGAAAAGAAACUAACAAGGAUUCCCCUAGUAACGGCGAGUGAAGCGGGAAGAGCUCAAAUUUGAAAUCUUAAAGGGUUUCCCUUUACGAAUUGUAGUUUAAAGAAGUGUUUUCUGUUGAGGUUUUGGUAAAAGUUCUUUGGAAUAGGACAUCAUAGAGGGUGAGAAUCCCGUAUUUGACCUUUACUUUCAACUUUGUGAUACACUUUCAAAGAGUCGGAUUGUUUGGGAAUGCAGUCCAAAAUGGGUGGUAAAUUUCAUCUAAAGCUAAAUAUUGGCGAGAGACCGAUAGCGAACAAGUACCGUGAGGGAAAGAUGAAAAGAACUUUGAAAAGAGAGUUAAACAGUACGUGAAAUUGUCAAAAGGGAAGCGUUUGACACCAGUGUUGUUUUUCUGAGAAUCAAUUAAAGAACUGUAUAUGCUAAGCUGUUUAGACUUUAUCAGCUAAUCUGUUUAGUUUUGAGCUUUUCUUUAAUGCACUUUUCAGUUAACAAGUCAACAUCAAUUUCUUUUGCUGUAAAAAAGCUUGAGGAAGGUGGCUUGAGAUUCGUCUUAAGUGUUUAUAGCCUCUUGCCUAUGCAGUCGGAGAGAUUGAGGUCUGCAGCGUAGAUCCUUCGGGGCUAAAUGCAUUUGUGCUAAGUUAUAGCAUUUUAUAGACAACUUGUUGACUAUGAUUUGUCUUGUAGCUUACUCGCUUAUGUUAUUUUACCUACGCUUAGGAUGUUGAGUAGCGACAUACGCAC